AUUGAACGCUGGCGGCAGGUCUAACACAUGCAAGUCGAGCGGAUGAAGGGAGCUUGCUCCUGGAUUCAGCGGCGGACGGGUGAGUAAUGCCUAGGAAUCUGCCUGGUAGUGGGGGAUAACGUCCGGAAACGGGCGCUAAUACCGCAUACGUCCUGAGGGAGAAAGUGGGGGAUCUUCGGACCUCACGCUAUCAGAUGAGCCUAGGUCGGAUUAGCUAGUUGGUGGGGUAAAGGCCUACCAAGGCGACGAUCCGUAACUGGUCUGAGAGGAUGAUCAGUCACGCUGGAACUGAGACACGGUCCAGACUCCUACGGGAGGCAGCAGUGGGGAAUAUUGGACAAUGGGCGAAAGCCUGAUCCAGCCAUGCCGCGUGUGUGAAGAAGGUCUUCGGAUUGUAAAGCACUUUAAGUUGGGAGGAAGGGCAGUAAGUUAAUACCUUGCUGUUUUGACGUUACCAACAGAAUAAGCACCGGCUAACUUCGUG
RNAcentral lists this ribosomal RNA (484 nucleotides) under uncultured bacterium. RNAcentral's name for it is "partial 16S ribosomal RNA". It matches the Rfam family "Bacterial small subunit ribosomal RNA", at positions 30 to 507 of the family's 1533-position model. The record is from RNAcentral.